RNAcentral lists this unclassified non-coding RNA (520 nucleotides) under uncultured Glomus. Its description in RNAcentral is "SSU rRNA". It matches the Rfam family "Eukaryotic small subunit ribosomal RNA", at positions 569 to 1087 of the family's 1831-position model. The record is from RNAcentral. Lineage: Eukaryota; Fungi; Glomeromycota; Glomeromycetes; Glomerales; Glomeraceae.
AGCAGCCGCGGUAAUUCCAGCUCCAAUAGCGUAUAUUAAAGUUGUUGCAGUUAAAAAGCUCGUAGUUGAAUUUCGGAAUCAAUGGAUCGGUCAUGCCACUCGGUGUGUACUGGUUUGAUUGGUUCUCACCUUCUAAGGAACCGUGAUGUCAUUAAUUUGGUGUCGCGGGGAAUUAGGACUGUUACCUUGAAAAAAUUAGAGUGUUUAAAGCAAGCUCACGCUUGAAUACAUUAGCAUGGAAUAAUGAAAUAGGACAUUGUAUUCUAUUUUGUUGGUUUCUAGGAUCGAUGUAAUGAUUAAUAGGGAUAGUUGGGGGCAUUAGUAUUCAAUUGUCAGAGGUGAAAUUCUUGGAUUUAUUGAAGACUAACUACUGCGAAAGCAUUUUGCCAAGGAUGUUUUCAUUAAUCAAGAACGAAAGUUAGGGGAUCGAAGACGAUCAGAUACCGUCGUAGUCUUAACCAUAAACUAUGCCGACUAGGGAUCGGAUGAUGUUAAUUUUUUCAAUGACUCAUUCGGCACC